RNAcentral lists this ribosomal RNA (520 nucleotides) under uncultured Glomus. RNAcentral's name for it is "SSU rRNA". It matches the Rfam family "Eukaryotic small subunit ribosomal RNA", at positions 569 to 1089 of the family's 1831-position model. The record is from RNAcentral. Lineage: Eukaryota; Fungi; Glomeromycota; Glomeromycetes; Glomerales; Glomeraceae.
AGCAGCCGCGGUAAUUCCAGCUCCAAUAGCGUAUAUUAAAGUUGUUGCAGUUAAAAAGCUCGUAGUUGAAUUUCGGGAUCAAAUUGUCGGUCGUGCCUCGGUACGCACUGGUAUUAUUGGUUCCUACCUUCUGAAGAACCGCGAUGUCAUUAAUUUGGUGUCGUGGGGAAUCAGGACUGUUACUUUGAAAAAAUUAGAGUGUUUAAAGCAGGCUUACGCUUGAAUACAUUAGCAUGGAAUAAUGAAAUAGGACGUUUGAUUCUAUUUUGUUGGUUUCUAGGAUUGACGUAAUGAUUAAUAGGGAUAGUUGGGGGCAUUAGUAUUCAAUUGUCAGAGGUGAAAUUCUUGGAUUUAUUGAAGACUAACUACUGCGAAAGCAUUUGCCAAGGAUGUUUUCAUUAAUCAAGAACGAAAGUUAGGGGAUCGAAGACGAUCAGAUACCGUCGUAGUCUUAACCAUAAACUAUGCCGACUAGGGAUCGGAUGAUGUUAAUUUUUUAAUGUACUCAUUUCGGCGCCUU